AACAAAAACAAAAAUAAAAAGAAAGCAUCGAAACAAAUAUAUCAAUCUAUACAAAUUAUAUAACUCAGACAUAAAUGCGUAUGUAUGAUAAAGACUGCCAUGCUUAAUAACAAUCUUAAACUGUUUAUAAGUUUACAUAGACUGUUCCAGCUUUUAUAACGUUUUCCUUUGCCCAGAAAUCUGCUCUUGAUUUUUCCGCAUAAUAUCAG
RNAcentral lists this unclassified non-coding RNA (209 nucleotides) under Hevea brasiliensis (rubber tree). Lineage: Eukaryota; Viridiplantae; Streptophyta; Magnoliopsida; Malpighiales; Euphorbiaceae. The record is from RNAcentral.